UGAAUGUGAAAAGCCCCCGGCUUAACCGGGGAGGGUCCAUUCGGAAAACCGGGGAAACUUUGAGUGCAGAAAGAGGAGAGUCGGAAAUUCCACGCGUAGCGGUGAAAAUCGCGUAGAGAUCGUCGGAGGAAACACCAGUGGCGAAGGCGACUCUCUGGUCUGUAACUGACGCUGAGGAGCGAAAGCGUGGGGAGCGAACAGGAUUAGAUACCCUGGUAGUCCACGCCGUAAACGAUGAGUGCUAAGUGUUAGGGGGUUUCCGCCCCUUAGUGCUGCAGCUAACGCAUUAAGCACUCCGCCUGGGGAGUACGGUCGCAAGACUGAAACUCAAAGGAAUUGACGGGGGCCCGCACAAGCGGUGGAGCAUGUGGUUUAAUUCGAAGCAACGCGAAGAACCUUACCAGGUCUUGACAUCCUCUGACAAUCCUAGAGAUAGGACGUCCCCUUCGGGGGCAGAGUGACAGGUGGUGCAUGGUUGUCGUCAGCUCGUGUCGUGAGAUGUUGGGUUAAGUCCCGCAACGAGCGCAACCCUUGAUCUUAGUUGCCAGCAUUCAGUUGGGCACUCUAAGGUGACUGCCGGUGACAAACCGGAGGAAGGUGGGGAUGACGUCAAAUCAUCAUGCCCCUUAUGACCUGGGCUACACACGUGCUACAAUGGACAGAACAAAGGGCAGCGAAACCGCGAGGUUAAGCCAAUCCCACAAAUCUGUUCUCAGUUCGGAUCGCAGUCUGCAACUCGACUGCGUGAAGCUGGAAUCGCUAGUAAUCGC
Molecule: ribosomal RNA, 770 nt
Filed under: Bacillus subtilis
Lineage: Bacteria; Bacillati; Bacillota; Bacilli; Caryophanales; Bacillaceae
Description: bacterial SSU rRNA
Rfam family: Bacterial small subunit ribosomal RNA
Source: RNAcentral